GAUGAACGCUAGCGGCAGGCCUAACACAUGCAAGUCGAGGGGCAGCGCGGGUAGCAAUACCUGGCGGCGACCGGCGCACGGGUGAGUAACGCGUAUGCAACCUGCCCCCGUCUGGGGAAUAGCUCGUCGAAAGGCGGAUUAAGGCCCCAUGGUUCCGUUGACCGGCAUCGGUUAACGGAUAAAGGUUACGGACGGGGAUGGGCAUGCGUGCCAUUAGCUAGUUGGGGGGGUAACGGCCCACCAAGGCGACGAUGGCUAGGGGAGCUGAGAGGCUGAACCCCCCACACUGGUACUGAGACACGGUCCAGACUCCUACGGGAGGCAGCAGUGAGGAAUAUUGGUCAAUGGGCGGAAGCCUGAACCAGCCAUGCCGCGUGCAGGAAGACGGCCCUACGGGUUGUAAACUGCUUUUCUGCGGGAAGAACGGCUUUACGAGUAGAGGUGUGACGGUACCGCAGGAAUAAGGAUCGGCUAACUCCGUG
RNAcentral lists this ribosomal RNA (482 nucleotides) under uncultured bacterium. RNAcentral describes it as "bacterial SSU rRNA". It matches the Rfam family "Bacterial small subunit ribosomal RNA", at positions 28 to 507 of the family's 1533-position model. The record is from RNAcentral.